GACGAACGCUGGCGGCGUGCCUAAUACAUGCAAGUUGAGCGAUGAAGAUUGGUGCUUGCACCAAUUUGAAGAGCAGCGAACGGGUGAGUAACGCGUGGGGAAUCUGCCUUUGAGCGGGGGACAACAUUUGGAAACGAAUGCUAAUACCGCAUAACAACUUUAAACAUAAGUUUUAAGUUUGAAAGAUGCAAUUGCAUCACUCAAAGAUGAUCCCGCGUUGUAUUAGCUGGUUGGUGAGGUAAAGGCUCACCAAGGCGAUGAUACAUAGCCGACCUGAGAGGGUGAUCGGCCACAUUGGGACUGAGACACGGCCCAAACUCCUACGGGAGGCAGCAGUAGGGAAUCUUCGGCAAUGGACGAAAGUCUGACCGAGCAACGCCGCGUGAGUGAAGAAGGUUUUCGGAUCGUAAAACUCUGUUGGUAGAGAAGAACGUUGGUGAGAGUGGAAAGCUCAUCAAGUGACGGUAACUACCCAGAAAGGGACGGCUAACUACGUG
This 497-nucleotide ribosomal RNA is filed under the name uncultured bacterium. RNAcentral describes it as "partial 16S ribosomal RNA". It matches the Rfam family "Bacterial small subunit ribosomal RNA", at positions 28 to 507 of the family's 1533-position model. The record is from RNAcentral.